RNAcentral lists this transfer RNA (72 nucleotides) under Campylaephora sungminbooi. RNAcentral describes it as "Ceramium sungminbooi tRNA-Gln". It matches the Rfam family "tRNA". From Rfam's summary of the family: Transfer RNA (tRNA) molecules are approximately 80 nucleotides in length. Their secondary structure includes four short double-helical elements and three loops (D, anti-codon, and T loops). Further hydrogen bonds mediate the characteristic L-shaped molecular structure. tRNAs have two regions of fundamental functional importance: the anti-codon, which is responsible for specific mRNA codon recognition, and the 3' end, to which the tRNAs corresponding amino acid is attached (by aminoacyl-tRNA synthetases). tRNAs cope with the degeneracy of the genetic code in two manners: having more than one tRNA (with a specific anti-codon) for a particular amino acid; and 'wobble' base-pairing, i.e. permitting non-standard base-pairing at the 3rd anti-codon position. The record is from RNAcentral. Lineage: Eukaryota; Rhodophyta; Florideophyceae; Ceramiales; Ceramiaceae.
UGGUGUAUAGCCAAAUUGGUAAGGCCAUAGCUUUUGGCGCUACGAUUAAAGGUUCGAAUCCUUUUACACCAG